RNAcentral lists this long non-coding RNA (6245 nucleotides) under Elaeis guineensis (African oil palm). RNAcentral's name for it is "long non-coding RNA (EGUI_LNC033230)". Lineage: Eukaryota; Viridiplantae; Streptophyta; Magnoliopsida; Arecales; Arecaceae. The record is from RNAcentral.
UCGCCCUUUUUGAUUAGUCCAUGUUAUGACCAAUUUCCAAAAUUAUUGACACUGUAUUUCAUGGAAACCAUGUUAAAGCACUACAAAUCACCUCAUUGCAACUUUUUUUAUGUGAUCAAUUUUAUCUCGUGAAAACUCACAUAUAUUGAUGGAUCGCAUGGAGUAUGAUACCACUCCAACUAAUAGUCCAAAUCAGUUACCUAAUAUGUUCUUAUGAUAAACUGCAAGUACUUCUCAAAUGAAUCAUGCCCCUAAGUUUAAGGACUAUUUGUGAAAUGUGCAUAUUGAAUUUUGAUGCAUCAUGCUAAGAAUAUGGUUCAUGAGGUGUAGACACAGUUGUUGACCACUCAAUGAGAGGCACAUAUAUGAAUGAGCAUGAGCACUAAUGUUAUGGUCCUUGGCAUAGGAUUGCAUUAUGGUUCUAGAAGAGGAAGGGUUAGGCUGUGGUUGAGGUAAGGGUGAGUGUUUAUUGGGAUUUUUUUUUUUCUACCUAUGGUUACUGCUUGAGCUCAAUUAAAGAGAGAACUCAAAAAUCUCUGAGUAAGAAAGUACUCAACUUGUGUGAAAUUUUGCUCCCUUUAUUGAAUAAUAACAACUGCAUAUAUAUACAUAAGUGGAGGAUAACAACCUCCUAAAACUUAGGGAAAUGGAAAGAGUGGAGGUACACCCUCCUACAACUAAGGAAUUGAAAAUGCAUAACAGAAUUGGAAAUAACAGAAAUAGGAUUUAGUGGCUGACUUGGUCUUUCCUAAUUAUCAGUGCAUGACCCUGACUUAGUGGAAGUGUCUAGGAGUGAGGUUCAAGAAAUUCCUUUUCCAUGAGUGAACCUUUUGUAAACCGUAACAUUUCUCUCCGCCUCCUCAACGCGCUUGUCCUCAAGCACAAAAUUUGGAUGUUGUUGUGUGAAGGCUGACAAAGGUUCCCAAGAUGCAUCUGUGGGUGAAGUGUGCUCCCAGUGGACAAGUAAUUCAGUUUCACCCUUUCGAGAUCAGUGGUCCAGAAUGGCUAGUGGCUUAGGAUUAGGAACUUCUGGGACAGUGGAUGGAAGUUGUGAGGAGAUGUUGGCAGCUUGGUCUGCAUGGUAAGCCUUGAGGCUGACCACGUGAAAAAUUGGGUGUAUCUUGGACUCAGCGAGAAGGUCUAGCCUGUAGGCUAUGGGACCUAUUCUUUCCAAGAUUUUAAAAAGGCCAUAAAAACGGGCUGACAGUUUUUGAGAAGCCCUUUUUGCCACAGAUGUUUGGCGGUAGGGCUGAAGUUUGACUAAAACCAAUUCUCCCACUUGGAAUUCAACAAAUCUGUGCGUAGAAUCAUAAUUGGCCUUCAUCUUUUUGCUGUGCCUUCAAUAAGUUAUUACGAAGGGAGGCUAUGACUUCGUCUCUUGAUAGCAAUAAUUGAUCCACAGCUUCAAUUUUAGAUGAUCCCAGAUAGUAGGAAAGUAGGCGAGGGGGCUGUCUACCAUAAACCACUUUGAAGGAAGUGGCUUUAAGAGAGGAAUGGUAGCUAGUAUUGUAGCAAUAUUCACCCCAAGAGAGCCAAUCCAACCAACGCCUUGGUUUCUCACUGGUGAAGCAACGAAGAUACAUUUCAAUGGUCCUGUUAACCACUUCGGUUUGUCCGUCGGACUGUGGGUGGUAGGAGGAGCUAAAACAGAGCUUGAUCCACAUAGGCGGAAGAGUUCAGACCAGAAGGCACCUGUGAACGUUGAAUCUCAAUCACUGACUAUGGAUAUUGGUAAAUCGUGGAGUUUGAACAUGGAGUCAAAGAAGGUUCUUGCCACCACUGAGGCUAUAUAGGGGUGAGAUAGAGGAAGGAGGUAACGGUAUUUGGAAAAUCUGUCCACGACCACAAACAAGACAUUUUUUCCAUGUGAAUUCGGCAGCCCUUCCACAAAGUCAAUUGAGAUGUCAGCCCAUAUGUGGUGUGGUAUUGGUAAAGGAAGAAGUAGGCCGGCUGGUUGGAGAUGCUCAGUUUUAUGGCAUUGACAGGUAAGGCAGGAUCGAACAAAAUUUUAUAGUUUUGUUUUGAGUCCCUCCAGUGAAAAUCUUGGGUGAUUCUGUGGAGUGUUUUUUGAUGACCUUCAUGGGUUUGGUUAUGUAUGGUGGCGAUGAUGGUUUGUUUGAGUGGGGAGGAGGUGGGAAGAUAGAUUUUGCCUUUAAAGAGUAACAUGCCAUUGUACAUGGUCCACGGGCUAGGAUAUUCUGCCUUUAAAGAGUGGCAUCCUCAGAGUUGCGGCGAGACAAGGCAUCGGCAAUGACAUUGUGGCGGCCUGGUCUGUACUCUACUGAGAAUGAGAACCCCAGUAUCUUGCCCAACCAAUGCUGCUGUGGUGGGGUGAUCAAUUUUUGUUCGAGUAAAAAUUUGAGACUGUAGUGAUCAGUCUGUACUAGAAAUUUCUGACCCCAGAGAUAGGAAUGCCAGUGCCGAAUUGCUUUGACAAGGCCAAUCAAUUCUUUCUCAUAAGUGGGAAGGCUCUUAUGAUGAGCAGCCAAUGCCCAGCUAAAGUAUGCCAUUGGUUUAUUAUUUUGUUGUAAGACAGCCCCGAUUCCUAUAUCAGAAGCAUCACAUUCAACCACAAAAGUUUGUGAGAAAUUAGGCAAUGUUAAAAUAGGGGUAUUAUGCAUGGCCUUUUUUAAUUGCUCACAAGCAGCAGUAGCCUCCUCUAUCCAUUUGAAAUUGCUGCGGCAUAACAUCGCCGUCAAAGGUGCUGCGAUUACCCCAUAAUCUUGAACGAAUUUGCGGUAAUAGCCGAUGAGGCCUAAGAAACCCCGAAGGCCAGUAAUGGUGGUCAGCUUGGGCCAAUUCAUCAUUGCUAUAAUUUUGCUGUCAUCUGCUGCCACCCCAGCUGAAGAAAUAACUUGGCCAAGAUAGGCAACCUGUGUCUGAGCAAAGGAGCAUUUUGACUUCUUCACAAAUAGCUGAUGAAUGGAUAACAGAUUGAACACAACCCGUAGAUGAGUUUGGUGCUCAAUCCAAGUUUGGCUAUAAACCAAGAUGUCAUCAAAAAAUACUAAAACAAACUUGCGAAGGUGAGGCCGAAAUACCUCAUUUAUUAAGGACUGGAAAGUGGAGGGGGCGUUGGUGAGCCCAAAAGGCAUUACCAGAAAUUCGAAAUGCCCAUGGUGGGUUCGGAAAUGUCAUUGGCAUACAUUCGGAUUUGGUUGUAGCCAGAACGAAGAUCAAGCUUUGUGAAAUAGGGAGCCCCAAAUAAUUCCUCCAAGAGCUCAUCUAUGACCGGAAUUGGGAAUUUGUCCUUGAUCGUCUUGGCAUUCAGCACUCUGUAAUCCACGCAUAAACACCAAGUCUUAUCCAUCUUGGGCACUAAUAAGACUGGUGAGGAGUAAGGAGAUUGGCUGGGUCGGAUGAUUCCUUGUUCUAGCAUGAGGGCACAUUGUUUUUCAAUUUCAUCUUUUUGGAUGUGUGGGUAUUGGUAGGGCCUUACCACAACAGGCCCACUAUUUGGCUCCAGAUUAAUUAUGUGAUCACAGGCCCUGCAAGGGGGAAGACCAUUGGGUUCCUAAAAUACAUGAGGAAACUUUGUUAGUAAUUAUUGUAAUUCAGUCUCAGGGUCCAGUAGUGCUACAGCUGUAUUGAAAACAGAUUGUUGAGGUGACAUAGGAGUUUCAAGUCCCUGUAACUGCACUGACUUUCCAUCCUUGCAAAAAUUCAUAUGCAUGUCUGUGAAAUCCCACAGGAUCGGGCCCAAGGUUCUUAGCCAAGUAACUCCUAAUACCACAUCAAACCCACACAAGGUUAAGAUAAAUAAAUCAGUGGUAAAAGAAUAAGAGUCUAAUUCCAACUUAGCUCCCUUGUAUUUGCCUGGACUUAGGAUUUUCUCGCCAUUAGCUACUACCACUUUCAAAUUCUCUUGUUUCUUAACCGUGCUCAGCCUUAUCUACAAUAGCAGAGUCCACAAAACUAUGGGUUGAACCAGAAUCAAUUAAAAUCAGAACAGGCUUACCAUUCCAAAUUCCCUUGAUUCGCAUGGUAUAAAGAGUGGUGAUGCCCAUAAUUGCAUGUAAGGAAAUUUCUGGUGGUUGCUUCUUAAGAUCGGGUUCAGACUCCAAUGGCUCUUCCUCGGUAAUGGCUUCAAGGAAGAAGAGCUUCUUGCACUGAUGGCGAUGAACAAAAGGUUCGUCGCAAUUGAAACAGAGGCCCUUGAGCCUCCUGUCUUCCAUCUCGGCUUGGCUCAAUCUCUUAAUAAUUUUGGUUCUGGCGGCGGUUUUGGAUGGAGGACGACGGAAAUCAUCCAAUGCAGGUGGAGGCCUGCCCGGAUGUUGCUGUUCAAAUAAGCGAGACAUACUCAUGGCAGCAGCAAGAGUCAGAGGACGAUUCACUUGGACCUGGACCGCAAUUGCAUUGUUCAGCCCACUGAUGUAUAGCUGCACCUUUUGUGAUUGGGUGAGAGUACCCGCAAGUGAGAGAAGCUCCUCAAACCGGUCUUGGUAAUCAGCCACCAUUCCGGCCUGCUUCAGUCUGGCCAAUUCUCUGAGUUGUUGAUCUCGCAGAGGUGGGCUGAACUGCACAUCACACUGAUUUGAAGAAUUCCUAAGUCAUCUCAGGAUGCUCCUCUGUCAAUUGCAUGUACCAAAUCUAAGCCUUGCCAUCCAAAUGAAAUGAAGCUAUGCCAACUUUUUCCUCAUUUGUUUUUUGAUGGUGGAAAAAUUGGUCACAAUGGUUCAGCCAUCCAAGAGGGUCAUCUGUCCAAUCAAAAUGAGAAAAAUCAAAUUUGGUGAAUUUUGGCACUAUGCCGCUACUAUCAACUAGUUCCUUUCCAGAUCCUCCCGAGUGCGAAUUCCUCUUUUUGGCUUUGCUGGUGCUUCCUACGACAGCAGAAGGGAGCUCCAGUUUGGUGGCUGCAAGAUCACAUGAUAAUUCCCCAAGUCGAGCCUGAGUUUCUUGCUGCCUUGCUUGGUUCGCUGCUCGUUCUUCUUGGAAGAGGGUCAGAAGUCAAUCUAGUUGUUGCUGAAUCUGGUGGUUUUGGUCUCCCAUAAUGCCAGGCUCUGAUACCAAAAUGUUAUGGUCCUUAGCGUAGGAUCACAUUGUGGUUCUAGAAGAGGAAGGGUUAGAUUGUGGUUGAGGUAAGGGUGAGUGUUUAUUGGGAUUUUUUCUUUUUUUACCUAUGGUUACUGCUUGAGCUCAAUUAAAGAGAGAACUCAAAAAUCUCUGAAUAAAAAAGUACUCGACUUGUGUGAAAUUCUGCUCCCUUUAUUGAAUAAUAACAAUUGCAUAUAUAUACAUAAGUGGAGGAUAACAACCUCCUAAAACUUAGGGAAAUGGAAAGAGUGGAGGUACACCCUCCUACAACUAAGGAAUUGAAAAUGCAUAACAGAAUUGGAAAUAACAGAAAUAGGAUUUAGUGGCUGACUUGGUCUUUCCUAAGUAUCAGUGCAUGACCCUGACUUAGUGGAAGUGUCUAGGAGUGGGGUUCGAGAAAUUCCUCUUCCAUGAGUGAACCUUUUGUAAACCGUAACAACUAACUACCAAAUGAUUUGAGGAUAGCUAAUUCAGUACCAAGGUUGUCAAAAUGUCUAGAUGAUCCUAGGCUAUGGUUCUCUUGGCAUGGUAUAAUGUACAAGCAGCCAAGCAAACGCUUGGAGUUAAAAAAUCUUGAAAUUUAUGAAGUUUUAAUAUCAAAGCAUUUAUAAUCAGAAUGUCACAAAUAUAAUAAUCCGAAUCCAGAUUUUUCAUUCUCUUGUUCGCUGCCCUAAAUCCUCUUGCCACUUCUGGAGCAAAGGGUCUAGAAUUAAGAGAAGGUCAUUUGAGGGAUAAUGUCCCUAGAUAAUAGAAGACUCAAGAUGGAUGUCUGUGAUCUUGAAGUAGGUUUAAAGUGAUUUUUGUAGAAAGAUGGCAUAUACCUGACAUACAACUUAUAUAGAAAGAUGGCUGAAUGUUAAAGUGUUCAAUAAAAUUAGAUAUAGUGGAAGCAAAGUUAUCGAUAUGUGGCCAAGUGCCAACAUAGGCCUCCAGGUGGUUGCCUUGCCUAUCAGCUUGGGGAGCUUUUUUAAUAUGCCUAUAGUCUACUAUUGGAGUUGUACAAAUGUGAUGCACAAUUCAACUAUAGCCCCAUUAACUUUAAUAAUAGGAAUAGACUGCUUGUCCCCAUGAUAAGCUUGAGGCUAAUCACUAUUUAUUUCGAACCUUGCAACCUGUUCAACUUUUGGGUUAAUUUUUGACAAGCAUGUCCAAAUCCUAUGACUGCAAUUAAGUUAGCCAUUAAACAAAAAAAAAAGUGGCAUUCUGGGACC